CUGUUGUCUUCUCCUGCUGGGUGUCUGUGAGAUGUGUCCGGGAGGCGUGCGUUAUGUUUUGGCCGCUGCCCGAGGUCAUCAUUCUGCUGCGGUGUGCGACCCUGUCUUGGUCAUGGAUGUCCCCGUGUGGGUGGAUGUAUGCCUGGACUGCCGUUCGGUGUCUCGUGUGGGCCGCUGUCUGUGAGUGUGUGUGUGCGUGCGAGGUGGGUGCCAUCGCCGGGGUCCGUGGGCGGCCUGUCCUGUAAUUCGCUGGACCGGGCUGCAGCCUUGGACAUGCUAUUGUGGGGCUAUCCUGGUGCCACGACUAAUUAAAGGGCCAAUAUUCCCCGGCGCGUUCUCCCUCCCCCACUGAAGCUGUUCUUGAUACCGGCUGAAACCGUUCUGGAUUCUGGUAAAACUUCUGAUUACACAAGCAAUCUGGAAACUGGCUUCUGUGGAUGGUGGUUCUAUCUGAUGAUGGUUGCCCCUACAGUGGUCCUGCUGUGCGCCUGGCUUACUACUCACAAUUACUUGAAUCAUUUCUGUCAAAGGAAUUGCAUGUAUUAUACAUUGUUCAUUCUGUACACAUGGCAUCCAUUGUAGUCUGUCCAUCCCGGGAGUGGGAUCCCUCCUCUGACGUUCUCCCUAAGGUUUCUUCCCUUUUUCCCUCUUGUAAGGGUUUUUUCAUUUUUUGGGGAGUUUUUCCUGUGCCGAUGGUGGGUUUCGGGGCAGAGGAUGUUGUAUGUGUACAGACUGUAAAGCCCUCUGAGGCAAAUUUGUAAUUUGCGAUUAUGGGCUAUACAAAAUAAAAUGAAUUGAAUAGACUAGCCAUAGGUUUAAAUGAGGGCAAUACGUUUUUGCAGUGCUUUGUUCACUGUUAAAUAGAUCUUUAAGCAUAUAGGGGUAGGCAAAAUUAGACAUUACGUUUGUCUAUUUUCCAUGGAUACGUAAUAGUAAAGAUAUGAUUGUACUCCGCUAGCAGUCGCCGUCUGAUGGGGUUGCUGUAGUAGCUUCGCUAGCAGUGGCCUGGUCUAUCCUGCGGCAGGAUGGAGUCCAAGCCCCAAACAACUUUACAAUAUCAAUAUUAUGCCUGUUAUAAUAAAGCAUUGAUCAAAUUUCAACAUG
Molecule: long non-coding RNA, 1104 nt
Organism: Gasterosteus aculeatus aculeatus (three-spined stickleback)
Lineage: Eukaryota; Metazoa; Chordata; Actinopteri; Perciformes; Gasterosteidae
Source: Ensembl